This is a long non-coding RNA of Oxyura jamaicensis (ruddy duck), 2624 nucleotides long. RefSeq lists it as uncharacterized. The record is from RefSeq and is a predicted model, not a curated record. The transcript has 2 exons. NCBI's taxonomy places the organism in Eukaryota, Metazoa, Chordata, Aves, Anseriformes, Anatidae.
AUGCCAGCAUUUCCUAUCUUCUGCAGUCAUACACUUCAGGACAUUCAUUCUAACCAGGUAUAAAACAGCUCCUCUUUCUCACCAGUGACUGCCUCUGGUCAGUUAAGACUACAGAAGCAUUUAUGUAAGCUCAGCUGUCUCAGUGCAGGCUCUUCUCUUGGAAUGCAAAGCCCUUCUGACUGACUUAAAAUUGAAGAGCAGGAAUGGUGACCUCAAAUACAGCCACCACUAUGGGAGAAUCCCUAGGGCGAUCUGGUUUCUGUCUCCUGCUGGGACUCCCGUUCUUCUCUCCAUUCUGGGCACGACUUCACAACAGCUGACAGAUCAGUUCGUCACAGCCAAAGGGAAACUCGUAUUCCCUCUCCACACCUCACCUGUGCAGGUUUUGGUGUCUGAACUGUUGAAGUUGCUAAAAUGGCUAUUUGAAUGUGGUAAUUCAGCAAAGAAGUAGAGAGCGAAACUACUACACUCAGUAAGGCUGCUCUGAGGGUCAGGAAAGUGGUGCCACUGGGAUCAUGAGGGAGGGCAGCAGUCAGCACCUCUUUGUGACGGUAAGCUGGGUUGACUUCUUUGCUUGAUGUCUUCUAUUGAUGGAGUUGGCCAAGUUAUUGUUCCCCCUGCCCCUUUCUGAAGGUUAUUUUUAAACAUGGUAUUUCAGUUUGGUUUAUGGGAUGGUUCCCCAGCAAGCUGUGUCAGCACAGCUGAGACGUGAGCUUCACGCAUGGGGAAGAACAGGGCAGAAAAGGAAUGAACUUCACAUCCCUUACUCCCCUGCUGUCUCUGGUAGCUGUUUGAAAGAUGCAUCUUACAGAGCUUGUUCAAUAUGUAGGAUAUUAGUUUGAACAGGAAAGCAGAAUACUUAACGUCCAUGUAGGAAUAUCUGUUUUCUUCCCUGGCAGAUUUUCUUUUCCCUUAGCAGUUUAUUUUAUGGGCAGUUAUGCUGUACAGGUGAUUUCUUUGGUUGCUUUUAUGCUGGAAAUUAAAGAGCAAAACAAUGUUGCUAUUCUUAAAAGCUGAUCAGCAUUCUCUCCUGUGGCAUCAUGGACGCAAUCUAUGUCAAAGGAAGUUCAAGCUGUUGCGCAGUACCUGCUUUUACACUGGAGCAGUGCAAUGUGUGAUCAAAAGGGUAGUCCUGGCCCUCCCUGGUCAGAUGUUCCUGAAUCUUUUAUCUCAGUGCUAACAGUUAUGAAGAUAUUAGGGGCACAUACGGUGCAUCAGCCAGAGGCUGGCCAUAUAGCCAGGCAGACUGUUCCUUUCAUUAGGGGCCUGUAUUUUAGAAGUGCUUAAACUUGGUUAUAAAAACUCACCCUGAAAUGGCUUGAGUUGCUGUCCAGGAGCAAGUCAUGUACAAUACCAAAAAAAAUCUUGUGUGGUGCUUCUAUCUAGUUUUCAUGUAUGUUAUGCGUUCAGCUGUUGGAACAGAGCCUUCUAUUCCAAUUUUUAAUACGUAGACACUCCAAACAAAAGAAACGAGGAACAAUGAGAAUGACUAUCCUUUCUGCCAGUGACAGUCUGAACUUAAUUCCAGGUGUAGACAUCAAUGAAGUUAACUACAGUAAAAUUGUUCACGGGUCGGAUUGUUCAUGCAGCACUCCAAAGCACAAAAACAAACAACUACAAAUUCUGCAUCCACCAUAACUUCAGGUGAUAGCCUGUGAAUACUGAGACUAUCGUGUCAAUGAGUGUGCCAAGGCUUUAGCUGCCCAGGACAUAAUGCAGCAUCUUUGUUUUAAGGAUUCAGACACUGUAGGCAGUAUUUGAGCUGUAUCUAUUUUGUUUAACUUCCUUCUCUUUAAGCACCAAAGAAGAAUUUGCAUCUUGUUUCUUCUUGAAGAGUGAAAACUACCAGCUCUUGAUCAUACUUAAAAAUUAAUUAAAACCCCUGUCUGUGACCACAACACCCAUACUUGGGGUUUGGUUCAGCUUCCUGUGGGCUUUAAUUACAAGCAGCAUUUCUCAAGCCCUUUGUGCUUAAAGCACAGCUACAUUGCUGAAGCUGGGAGACAUAAAAAGUCAGUUCAUUUGCAUACCUUGAUUUUAUACAGUACCUCCUUGUAGAUCUACCCCUCUGUCUCUGGCCACAAUCAGGGUUUUGAUAUUUCUGUAUAUUUGAUAAUAUUUUGUAAAGCCUAAUUGUAUUUUCCUUUCAGAAAUGGCUACUUGCAACUGUUCAAGUACUGUGUUUUACUCUUAGCUCCUAAUUCUUGCGUCUAAACUACAGGCAUGUGUUUCCUAUGCACCUGUACCUAAUGGCGACUGUAGAUUGUGUUGUUUUUCUUGCUGUUGCAAGUCAUAGAAUGAUUUGGGCUGCAAAAGACCUCGAAGAUCGUCAAGUCCAACCAUCAGCUUGACUUAAGGAGUCCUACCACUAAACCAUGUCCCUUAGCGCCAUGUCUACACAUCUCUUGAAUAUCUCCAGGGAUGGGGACUCCACCACCUUCCUGGGCAGCCCAGUCCAUUGCUCAACCACCCUCUUCAUGAAGAAAUUCUUUCCUGUCCAAUCUAAACGUCCUCUGGUGCAACAUGAGACCAUUUCCUUUUUGCAUCCUAUCACUUGUCACCUGAAGUUAGUUCAUUAGCAGUGGAUUCUUAGGAAUUAAAAGUUCUAAUAAGGGGAAAAAAAA